This 529-nucleotide ribosomal RNA is filed under the name uncultured Bacteroidales bacterium. RNAcentral's name for it is "bacterial SSU rRNA". It matches the Rfam family "Bacterial small subunit ribosomal RNA", at positions 187 to 715 of the family's 1533-position model. Lineage: Bacteria; Pseudomonadati; Bacteroidota; Bacteroidia; Bacteroidales. The record is from RNAcentral.
CAUGGAUAACACCAUUAAAGAUUCAUCGGUAAACGAUGGGGAUGGGUUCCAUUAGGUAGUAGGCGGGGUAAGGGCCCACCUAGCCUACGAUGGAUAGGGGUUCUGAGAGGAAGGUCCCCCACAUUGGAACUGAGACACGGUCCAAACUCCUACGGGAGGCAGCAGUGAGGAAUAUUGGUCAAUGGGCGAGAGCCUGAACCAGCCAAGUAGCGUGAAGGAUGAAGGUCCUACGGAUUGUAAACUUCUUUUAUAAGGGGAAUAAAACGCUCCACGUGUGGAGCCUUGUAUGUACCUUAUGAAUAAGCAUCGGCUAACUCCGUGCCAGCAGCCGCGGUAAUACGGAGGAUGCGAGCGUUAUCCGGAUUUAUUGGGUUUAAAGGGAGGGCAGACGGGAUGUUAAGUCAGCUGUGAAAGUUUGGGGCUCAACCGUAAAAUUGCAGUUGAUACUGGCGUUCUUGAGUGCAGUUGAGGCGUGCGGAAUUCGUGGGGUAGCGGUGAAAUGCUUGGAUAUCAGGAAGAGGUCGGAUUG